UUGUUCGGAUUCCCUGGGCGUAAAGGGUGCGUAUGGGGUGUGGUAAGUCGGAUGUGAAAGCUCGGAGCUCAACUCCGAAAUGGCAUUGGAAACUACCUUGCUCGAGGGUUGGAGGGGGGACUGGAAUUCUCGGUGUAGCAGUGAAAUGCGUAGAUAUCGAGAGGAACACCAGUGGCGAAGGCGAGUCCCUGGACAACUCCUGACACUGAGGCACGAAAGCUAGGGGAGCAAACAGG
Molecule: ribosomal RNA, 236 nt
Filed under: uncultured bacterium
Lineage: Bacteria
Description: partial 16S ribosomal RNA
Rfam family: Bacterial small subunit ribosomal RNA
Source: RNAcentral